RNAcentral lists this ribosomal RNA (501 nucleotides) under Serratia marcescens. RNAcentral describes it as "bacterial SSU rRNA". It matches the Rfam family "Bacterial small subunit ribosomal RNA", at positions 1032 to 1533 of the family's 1533-position model. Lineage: Bacteria; Pseudomonadati; Pseudomonadota; Gammaproteobacteria; Enterobacterales; Yersiniaceae. RNAcentral also lists the same sequence under 1 other name. The record is from RNAcentral.
AGACAGGUGCUGCAUGGCUGUCGUCAGCUCGUGUUGUGAAAUGUUGGGUUAAGUCCCGCAACGAGCGCAACCCUUAUCCUUUGUUGCCAGCGGUUCGGCCGGGAACUCAAAGGAGACUGCCAGUGAUAAACUGGAGGAAGGUGGGGAUGACGUCAAGUCAUCAUGGCCCUUACGAGUAGGGCUACACACGUGCUACAAUGGCGUAUACAAAGAGAAGCGACCUCGCGAGAGCAAGCGGACCUCAUAAAGUACGUCGUAGUCCGGAUUGGAGUCUGCAACUCGACUCCAUGAAGUCGGAAUCGCUAGUAAUCGUAGAUCAGAAUGCUACGGUGAAUACGUUCCCGGGCCUUGUACACACCGCCCGUCACACCAUGGGAGUGGGUUGCAAAAGAAGUAGGUAGCUUAACCUUCGGGAGGGCGCUUACCACUUUGUGAUUCAUGACUGGGGUGAAGUCGUAACAAGGUAACCGUAGGGGAACCUGCGGUUGGAUCACCUCCUUA